Molecule: ribosomal RNA, 1245 nt
Filed under: Candidatus Hodgkinia cicadicola
Lineage: Bacteria; Pseudomonadati; Pseudomonadota; Alphaproteobacteria; Hyphomicrobiales
Description: bacterial SSU rRNA
Rfam family: Bacterial small subunit ribosomal RNA
Source: RNAcentral
AGAGCUUGAUCCUGGCUCAGAACGAACGCUGGCCGCAGGCCUAACACAUGCAAGUCGAGCGAACGUCCCGCGAAGGACGGAAGCGGCGCACGGGUGAGUAACACGUAAGAACCUACCCCGCUCAACGGCACAACGCAGGGAAACCUGCGCUAAUUCCGUAUGACUCCUGUACCAGGUAAAGAACCCUUCGGAGCGGGAUGAGCUUGCGCUAGAUUAGCUCGUUGGCGGGGCAAAUGCCCACCAAGGCAACGAUCUAUAGCUGGUCUGGGAGGACGGACAGCCACACUGGGACUGGAACAAGGCCCAGACUCCCGCGGGAGUCAGCAGUGAGGAAUCUUGGACAAUGGGCGAAAGCCUGAUCCAGCUAUGCCGCGUGAGCGAUUAGAAGUUACCAAACUUCUCAAAGUUCUAACUUGAACCGUAAACCUCUUUUGCCAAACGAAAAUGAUGAUGUUAGUUUGCGCGAAUAAGCUCCGGCCAACUUCGUGCCAGCAGCCGCGGUAACACGAGGGGAGCAAGCGUUGUUCGGUUUGAUUGGGCGUAAAGCGCGCGUAGGCGGCUGCGCAAGUCGAUAAACAACGGCAGAGGCGAAGCCAUUUCUGUCUAGAUGUGCGUUGCUUCCGGCGGUAAAACCUAUCCCCAAACCAACAACGCACAUCCACCCAUAAAUCCUUCCCUUUAAGCCGAAGCCAAACGAUGGAGCUCAACUCCAUUCCGCUUCCGAUACUACGCGGCUUGAGGUCGGUGGAGGCGAACGGAACUCCAAGUGUAGAGGUGAAAUUCGUUGAUAUUUGGAGGAACACCAGAGGCGGAAGCGGUCCGCCAUGCCGAUUCUGACGCUAAUGCGCUAAAGCGUGGGGAGCAAACAGGAUUAGAUACCCUGGUAGUCCACGCCCUGAACGAUGAGUGCUAACAGCUGGAAACGUUUUGUUGCGUACUCCGAUUGUAAAGCUAACGCGUUAAGCACUCCGCCUGGGGAGUACGGCCGCAAGGUUGAAACUCAAAGGAACUGACGAGGACCCGCACAAGCGGUGGAGCAUGUGGUUUAAUUCGAAGCUGCACGCAAAACCUUACCAGCCUUUGACAUUGUAGGUCGGUUGCGCGCCGAAACGUGCGCACCCAAUGACCUUGCAACAGGUGCUGCAUGGCUGCCGUCAGCUCGUGUCGUGAGACGUACGGUUAAGUCCUAUAACGAGCGCAACCCUCGUCCGUAGUUGCUUCCAAGCGAAAGCUAGCUCUCUACGG